This 652-nucleotide ribosomal RNA is filed under the name uncultured bacterium. RNAcentral's name for it is "bacterial SSU rRNA". It matches the Rfam family "Bacterial small subunit ribosomal RNA", at positions 1 to 691 of the family's 1533-position model. The record is from RNAcentral.
UUUAGUUGAUCCUGGCUCAGGAUGAAUGCUGGCGGUGUGCCUUAAGCAUGCAAGUCGAACGGUAAUUUUCAUUCGGGAAAAACGAGUGGCGGACGGGUGAGUAAUACGUAGGAACUUACCCUAAAGUGGGGAAUAGCUCAUCGAAAGAUGGGGUAAUGCCGCAUAUGGUCGCAAGAUCAAAGUCGCAAGACGCUUUAGGAGAGGCCUGCGCCCUAUCAGGUAGUUGGUGAGGUAAUGGCUCACCAAGCCAAUGACGGGUAGCCGGUGUGAGAGCAUGACCGGCCACAAGGUAACUGAGACGCGGUGCCUACACCUACGGGUGGCAGCAACUGGGAAUAUUGCGCAAUGGACGAAAGUCUGACGCAGCGACACCGCGUGUGGGAAGAAGCUUUUCGGAGUGUAAACCACUGUGGCAGGGGAACAAAUUUUGAGCGUACCCUGCUAGAAAGCACCUGCUAACUACGUGCCAGAAGCCUCGGUAAUACGUAGGGUGCAAGCAUUAUCCGGAUUUACUGGGCGUAAAGCGUUCCGUCGGCGGUUUAUCAAGUUUCGUCUUUAAUACUGGGGCUCGACCCCAGAUACAGGAUGGAAAACUAGUAGACUAGAGUUUACUAUGGGGAGCUGGAAUUCUCGGUGGAGGGGUGAAAUCCGU